GUCCUGGUUUCAAACCAAAUAACAGCUUUUAAUUUGAAAAGGCUGACCUUCAUGGAGAAGAUCCUAACGUUAUUGUGUGUUACUUCUGCUGUAAAAUGACACGGAAAACAUAUGAAACUUUAGAGUUUUGUAAGCUCAAACUGUUGCUUGUAUCGGAAUGAAGGUCGGAACGGAAAGCAGGUGAAGCAGCAGUACCUUCAGAAAGAGGGCAUGAUCCCUUCUCCUCCUCUUCCUCCUCCUCCUCCUCCUCCUCACCACUCCACGCUGAUCUGUUGGACACCACACGGACAAAGCACAGCAUCCGGGUCGCUCCAGGUGUUUCACACUUUAUUUUCCAUGAUUGCAUUUUCUGUGUUAAUUCUGCACACCGAGACAAACUGAUUACAGUUCAAAUCCAAAUCUGUCGUUUACCCGCUCAGGUGCGCCUCGUUUGUUUCGAGUGUCCUUGAGACGCCGGGAACCUGACUGAAGGUAACAGGUGAGCCAAAUGUCCAACAGUUUAAACAUCUAACAUUGUGUUGCUGCGAUGACAGUACCGUGAGCAGGUGACGGUGGGUUCCAGUCAUUUCACUCACCUGAGGGAGUCACGCCGUCUCGUUUAAACACUUCGUCCUCCGGCCUCGCGGUAAAAUCUGAUUUUUGUUCGUCCAGCGCGAGCUGAGAUGAAAGCGAAAAGGUUCAGUAAAGCAUCGCUCGUUAAAACGCCUCACCUGGAGCAUGAGGUAAUUUAGAACUUUUCUAAUUAGCUGCGAGAAAGCAACUGGAAAAGAUGUCGCACUUUUCCAGGCUGUUUGUGUUCCGUCUCCAUAGCAACCGCGUCGGACACGAUCCGCCAUGUUGGGACCUCCGCUGCGGCUACGUCACAGCUUUAACUUCCGAGUUGGACGAAGGAAGAGCUUAUGAAAAUGACAGUUUAUAGCGUACAGCUGAUCCAUUAGCAGUUAGCUGCCUGACAGGAAACUGUCAACUGUUAUAAAGUCACGUUUCAUGUAAAAACUGCUUCACUAUGAGAGGAAUUUUCCUUUUAUUUACUGUAAUUAUUUUUAAAAUGUAUUUGAGUACUUUCUGAGGUUUAUUGAUAGUAAUCAUUAGUUACUGGCUGACUCCAACAAUGUUACUCUUAUUAUGUGUUUAGAAUAUAUAUAUUAGAAUAUUCAUCUGGGAAUUUCUUCUCCAUUAAGUACAUUUUCCUUAUUAAACUUUUAUAGUUUUACUGAAGUUAUAUUCUCAUUGCAGGAGUAUUUCUGUAGUAUGGUAUCAGUACUUUUACUCUGAAAAUACUUCCUCCCCUGCUUAGCACCAGAUGAGGUCACAUUAUGAAGUGAGUUCUUACUUCUCUCAACACUCAGUUUUCUUGUAACGUGCAGCUUGGACACCAGGUGGCGUCCAAUCGGGCUUCAGCUACAUGAGCAGACAUCAGUGGACCAGGUGUAAAAAUAACUGAUCUUUAUUAAGAGACACGAGGAGAACAGCCAAUAAAUACAGAGAGAAGGACAGAAUCGUCGUCUAACAUCCGCACAAACAGAACCGACCGCUCAGUCUUUGUAACUGGGCGGCUAAACUACGAAAUUCCCUACGAGGAUCAGGAUGUUUCUGCUCCUCUCACACCUUCUGUUGUCCUCUGCUGUCUGUUACUCAUUCACCCUCCUGUGAGCACCUGGAGCCACACCCCCGACUGGAAGCUGCUCUCACCUGGAGGACUCGUGCCUCCUGACAGGUUUGGCACAUUUGUGUUACCGUGUGAGCAGACAACACAUUUAGACGUCAGCUUUUCCUGCGUCUGCUCGCGAGCAAACAGACAACAUCUUUGUGCUUAAAGUCGGGUUUUUCUGUCCUCGUGAAAGAGAAUUCAGAUUCCAGUUUCAGGAAAAGACAGAAAUCCAUCCUGCAAAAGCACGUCAGGAUAAUUAAAACAUGAUUAAGAAUGUGUCUUAAAGCGUAGAGCGAAGAGUGAAAAGCAGCUCUGAUCCUGUGUUUUAGGGUUGCAGAAGGUCAGAAAUGCAAAUAGGUUUAAGCUUAGUUUAAGCUUCCUGUUUCAACAUACUGAAGAGUUUGACUGACUGAAGCUGAGGUCUGCUGUGGCUGACACUUUGGAAGUGUUAUCAGAAAUAGUUUAACUGUCUUAGUUUUGACUUUCUAUCCAUAGUUUGACAAUACUUUUCUCUGUGUUCAGAGGUUUCUGAGUAAUAAUUCUGAGAUCCUCAUUUUGUAAUUAUGAGAAAAUAAUUUCAUAAUCACAUCUUUAUUUUGUAAUUACAAGAUGCAAAAUAAGAAUCUCAUAAUGACAAAACUGACGAAAACUUUAUCUGUUUAUUGUUAUUGCGGUAUCUUUAUUUCCUAAUUAUGAGAUACAAAAGCCAUAGUUACAGUUGUUUUCUCUUUCAUCUGCAGUUCAUUAAUGGAUCAGCAGGGUUUUAUUUCACAGUUAGCUUCUACAUUGUUGUAUACGAAUUAGCUUCUUAUGUUGCCUCAGUCAGCUGCACGAGUGCUGAUUGUUAGUGUUAAAGUGGGUUAAAGUGAAUCGAGUCUGCUCACCUGAUUAACGUGGCUUUGGUGGUGUUUUACCAGCUGGAAUUCUUACGUUUUUAACAGUACUUUAGUGCAAUUUUGACUACACGCUGUAAUAAAUCAGACACUAACAGUGGAUGGUGAGGAUGGUUUCUGCUGUCAUUGAUGAUGAUUGACUGAUUGGUGAUUUCCCAGCACCUCCUUCUAUAAAUAUACAAAAUGUUUUUUGGUAUAUACGUCUUUUAUAUACAUGUGUUUUCACUUGUAUGUAUCAGUACUAGUUGGUAUGUGUACAGUAUAUAUAUACAGUGUGUGUACUUGUACAUCUAUCUUGGUGAGGACCUGCUUUGAUACAUGCAAAUGACAUUUUGGCUGUGUUUAAAGGUUUAAGGUGUGCUUUCAGGUAAAGGGGCGGGGCAUGUCAGUGAGGGCCCUCACACGUGUAGAAGUACAAACACGCGUGUUCCUAGUUGCUUUCAGUGAAGUCUCGGCAGAUGCCUCGGACCAGCGCGGGGAUGAACUCUGCGAGACCAGAGAACUCUCUCGUGAAGAAGGUGUGGCUGUCCUUUGGCUCCGACGCCAUCGCUCUGAGGUCAUCCAUGGGUGCCCAGGCCACGCCCACAGAGUACACGGUGAUGCCUGGUGAUCGGUGGUUGGGAGAAACAGCCAUGGCCGGGCUGCCGACGUCAUCGUAUGAUUGGCCGUCCGUCACCACAAUUAGGAAGUUGCGGCCCGGUCCUGUCCGCCUGGCGGAGAAAGAGCAGACAUGAUGCGACGCAGAGAGAAACCUCAGUAAUCCAAACACUACUCGAUGGCUGAGUCGCACCUUCCGGCAGGGCUGUAAGAUGACCAGCAUGGCAGGAGAACAGUCAAAACACACUCUCCAACAACAACAAUUCAGUCCAGCUUUGGUUUAGCUUCAGAAAAGUAGACCUCAGCAGUCGAAAACCUCGUCAGGAGCCGCAGUCAGGUGUGAUGUUACCUGAACAGGUUCUGGGUGGUGUAGCUGAUGGCUCCUCCGGUGGCCGUUCCUCCACUCAUGUAGGAGAUCCUCCUCAGAGCGUUGAUGGCGUCGUCCUUGCUGGAGUGGUCAUACAGGCCGAACUCCAGCCUCUGGUCGUAGGUGAACUGCACAGCACCUGGACACGUAGCACACAGCCAGUCAGCCAGUCAGCCAGUCAAACAGCCGCUCAGUUAAUCAGUGAAUCAAGUCAUCUCCAUCCUGUGAAGCUAACCAAUGUGAGUCCCCACAUCUGAGAUGUCAAAGCUUUGGGCGAUUCCUGCCAGGAAGUCCAGGACCAGCCGGAAGUUUCCAUCUCCAACGCUGGAUGAACCAUCAAUGAGGAAGCCGAUGUUGACCGAGUUGUAGCAGGUUUUACCUUGAACACACACACACACACACCGUGACUUACACAUGAAGUACGACGUUGCUCACUGUGCUGCGGGUUGCUGCUGCAGAUAUUCAACCUCCACAGAAGAUUAAAGGGACAGUUCACUACAAAGUCAACAGAACAGACUUUUCUCCUGACCAGAGGGGGCUGCACUGCGACGUGACUUCAGGGUCCUGACUGUAAUGUCACAGGUUAUUAUGAGUUUUUUUUCUUUUUUUUCCAGAAUAUAACAUUAGGACAAAAUGGAGAACAUGUACGAAGCUGCCAACAAGCCCCCUGGCUUUACUGUGUUUGAUUUGACAUUUUAACAUGUCUAGCCUUUCUUUCUUCUUCUCUUCUUCAACUAAUUAACAUCUUACUCGCUGCUGUGGCACCGUUUAGCUCCAGGAAAUCUGAGUUUGUCAACCCUGACUUUCCUUCCCUUUAGCGCUGCUGAUCCAUCCAGGUUGUUUUGGUGCGAGUCGUCAGCUGCAGAGACGUCUGCCUCCUCUAGAAUAACUACCGUACUUCUGUCCACAUCACCUCACAGAGAGAAACGAGCUCAGCUAACAGUUCAUCUCAGCCGACGAGGAUUCCUGUUAUGUUUCAUGCCACGAGCAGGUGCAGGUCUGUUGCUGUGCGGUGAUCAGAGAGAAAAUAGUCCCUACAUGAACCUGCUCACACCAUAGCUCUGGGAAUCAUCCUGAGUAACUGGGUCUUCAGUGUCCUGUGGUUCCAUCACACAGAAGAAAGGCAGACGUCUCCACAGCUGAGUGCUCCAACACCCUGCAGUGUGGACGGACAAACGGCUCUACAGGAAGUGGAGAAAAAUGUGGCUUUGAUUUACCGUUAAGUCACCAGAGUCCUCAAAUUUAAAGGAAACUGGUGACAUCCUCUCCUUGCACUAAGACCAGCAUCACAACCAAAUCCCACGUGAACACAAGAAAAAACUAAUAGUGCAAAAUGUGAAAAGACAUUUUUGUAACACAUUCCUGCUCCCAUGAGGAUGAACCCUUUGGUUUCAGUAAUGUUUGCUUUAUUAAGACUCUUGAAAAUUGUGUUCUUCCUGCUUUUAUUUCCAUAAAGGACUUCCUCUGCCACUUUUCUCCAGCCCUGAUGCUAAGCUAAGCUAACUGUGCACUGAGAAAAUGACAGAGUGAAAUGAAAUGAAAUGAAAUGUGAAAUGUGGGGUCUCUCCAUUGCCCGCCUGCCGUCACCCGUCCUGGGUGAGGGAUCCCCCCUCUGCUGCUCACCCUGAGGCUUCUCCCAGUCUUUCCCUGUUAAAGGUUUGUUCUGGGGUUUUUCCUGAGUCCAUGUGAGGGUCGAAGGGCAGAGGAUGUUGCUGUGAUGCUAUGUGAAGCCCUGUGAGACUUGAACAGCUUGUAAAAAUGGGCUGUACGAAUAAAGUUGUCUUGUCUUACUGCAGAGCAGGCUGUCCAGCGAGCAGAGUCUCUGAGUGAGAGGUUUGACAUGUUUGGUGGUGCUGAACCAGCUGGGGAUCAGGUAACUGAAGAAGCCGUUAUCCUUACACACCGCCUGCAGGGAGAAGAGGCAGCCCGUGUUUCAGAAACACAUUGCUAAUCCAGAUGUUCGGCAGCUUCAUUUUUAAAUGUGUGAUAAAUGACUGAAGGCGUGAACAAAGUGCAAACCUUCUUCAUGAAGUCCUUGUCGCGCACCAUAACGAGCUCCUCGGGCACCGGUUUAGCCACAGACACCAGGAAGACGUUGAUGCCGGACUCUCGGGCCAACAUGGCCGCCUGCUCCAGGUCAUCAGAAGGCCAGCCGUCAAUCAGGACCACCAUCACCCGGGGGUGACCCCGUCUGGCACCGUUCUCCUGGGCGAAGAAGGUCUCUGCCGUGUGCAUGAUGGCCUUACCUGCAACAGGACAGGACAGGAAACCAGGGAAAGGAAGAUGGAUGGUGUGUGUGUGUGUGUGUGAGUAUGAGUGUGUGUGAGAGAGAGAGUGUGUGUGUGUGUGUGUGUGAGUGAGAGUGUGAGAGAGUACGUGAGUGCGAGAGUGUGCGUGUGUGAGUGUGUGUGUGUGAGAGUGUGUGUGUGUGUGUUACCUGUGUUGGUGUCUCCUCCCAGGUAUGCGAGCUCCUUGAUGGCAAACAGCAGCUCUUUAGGCUGAGUGUAGUUUGUCAGUAAGAACUCCGUCCUGGGGGAGUCGCUGCGCGCACACACACACACACACACACACACACACACACACACACAGUACAGAGAGGUUCAUCCUUCAGUUUGACAUGUGGACACUCGAGGUUUUGAUCUGAGCUCAGACUGAAGCACUAAAAGCAGUUUUAUUUGUACUGUGGUCUUAAUGUUUUGGUUAUUAAAUCACAUUUCUGUUAUGGCCCUGAGUUAACGUAUUCACCCCAUUGUCCAGAAGUGUGUGUGUGUGUGUGUGUGUGUGUGUGUGUGUGAGAGAGAGAGAGAGAGAGCCUGACCUGGUCUGGACCAGGCCUACAUGUGGUCCUGUUUGUCCGACUCUCAACAUGGCUGCCAGUUUGACGACAAAGUUCUUCUGCAGGUUGAACCGCCGCUGGCCGAUGUUGUUGCUGCUGUCGAUCACCAUGGCGAUGUCCAUCUGACAGUCUGCACACACACACACACACACACACACACACACA
This is a long non-coding RNA of Scatophagus argus, 6509 nucleotides long. RefSeq lists it as uncharacterized. Lineage: Eukaryota; Metazoa; Chordata; Actinopteri; Scatophagidae. The transcript is spliced from 5 exons. The record is from RefSeq and is a predicted model, not a curated record.